AUUGAACGCUGGCGGAAUGCUUUACACAUGCAAGUCGAACGAUGAACCUUAGCUUGCUAAGGGGAUUAGUGGCGAACGGGUGAGUAAUGUAUCGGAACGUAUCCAAUAAGGGGGGAUAACUAGUCGAAAGAUUAGCUAAUACCGCAUACGUCCUACGGGAGAAAGCUAGGGACCUUCGGGCCUGGCGUUAAUGGAGCGGCAGAUAUCUGAUUAGCUAGUUGGUGGGGUAAAGGCUCACCAAGGCGACGAUCAGUAGCUGGUCUGAGAGGACGACCAGCCACACUGGAACUGAGACACGGUCCAGACUCCUACGGGAGGCAGCAGUGGGGAAUUUUGGACAAUGGGCGAAAGCCUGAUCCAGCCAUUCCGCGCGAGUGAAGAAGGCCUUCGGGUUGUAAAGCUCUUUCGCAAGGGAAGAAAACUUAAGCUCUAACAUAGCUUGAGGUUGACGGUACCUUGAUAAGAAGCACCGGCUAACUACGUGCCAGCCGCCGCGGUAA
This 500-nucleotide ribosomal RNA is filed under the name uncultured bacterium. RNAcentral's name for it is "partial 16S ribosomal RNA". It matches the Rfam family "Bacterial small subunit ribosomal RNA", at positions 30 to 523 of the family's 1533-position model. The record is from RNAcentral.